AGAGUUUGAUCCUGGCUCAGGAUGAACGCUAGCGGCAGGCUUAACACAUGCAAGUCGAGGGGUAACAGGGAUUGCUUGCAAUCCGCUGACGACCGGCGCACGGGUGCGUAACGCGUAUGCAACCUACCUUCUACAGGGGGAUAGUCAAUAGAAAUGUUGAAUAAUACCCCAUACGAUCUUUGAAUAGCAUUAUUUAGAGAAGAAAGUUCCGGCGGUAGAAGAUGGGCAUGCGUCCUAUUAGUUAGUUGGAGAGGUAACGGCUCCCCAAGACAUCGAUAGGUAGGGGUCCUGAGAGGGAGACCCCCCACACUGGUACUGAGACACGGACCAGACUCCUACGGGAGGCAGCAGUGAGGAAUAUUGGACAAUGGAGGCAACUCUGAUCCAGCCAUGCCGCGUGCAGGAAGACUGCCUUAUGGGUUGUAAACUGCUUUUAUACAGGAAGAAAUGUACCUACGUGUAGGUAUUUGACGGUACUGUACGAAUAAGGAUCGGCUAACUCCGUGCCAGCAGCCGCGGUAAUACGGAGGAUCCAAGCGUUAUCCGGAAUCAUUGGGUUUAAAGGGUCCGUAGGCGGUCUUUUAAGUCAGAGGUGAAAUCCUACAGCUCAACUGUAGAAUUGCCUUUGAUACUGAAAGACUUGAGUUAUUGUGAAGUAGUUAGAAUGUGUGGUGUAGCGGUGAAAUGCAUAGAGAUCACACAGAAUACCGAUUGCGAAGGCAGAUUACUAACAAUAUACUGACGCUGAGGGACGAAAGCGU
Molecule: ribosomal RNA, 761 nt
Filed under: uncultured bacterium
Lineage: Bacteria
Description: bacterial SSU rRNA
Rfam family: Bacterial small subunit ribosomal RNA
Source: RNAcentral